This 345-nucleotide ribosomal RNA is filed under the name uncultured bacterium. Its description in RNAcentral is "bacterial SSU rRNA". It matches the Rfam family "Bacterial small subunit ribosomal RNA", at positions 8 to 350 of the family's 1533-position model. The record is from RNAcentral.
AGAGUUUGAUCCUGGCUCAGGAUGAACGCUAGCUACAGGCUUAACACAUGCAAGUCGAGGGGCAGCAUGUUGGUUGCUUGCAACCAACGAUGGCGACCGGCGCACGGGUGAGUAACGCGUAUCCAACCUACCCUUGUCCAUCGGAUAACCCGUCGAAAGGCGGCCUAACACGAUAUGCGGUUCACGGCAGGCAUCUAAGGUGAACGAAAUGUGAAGGAGAAGGAUGGGGAUGCGUCUGAUUAGCCUGUUGGCGGGGUAACGCCACCAAGGCUACGAUCAGUAGGGGUUCUGGGAGAAGGUCCCCACAUUGGAACUGAGACACGGUCCAAACUCCUACGGGAGGCA